RNAcentral lists this ribosomal RNA (453 nucleotides) under uncultured Porphyromonadaceae bacterium. RNAcentral describes it as "partial 16S ribosomal RNA". It matches the Rfam family "Bacterial small subunit ribosomal RNA", at positions 341 to 792 of the family's 1533-position model. Lineage: Bacteria; Pseudomonadati; Bacteroidota; Bacteroidia; Bacteroidales; Porphyromonadaceae. The record is from RNAcentral.
ACGGAAGGCAGCAGUGAGGAAUAUUGGUCAAUGGGCGGAAGCCUGAACCAGCCAAGUCGCGUGAAGGAUGAAGGUAUUAUGUAUUGUAAACUUCUUUAGCAGCAGAGUAAUAAGGGGGUCGUGACCCCCGAUGCAAGUAUGCUGAAAAUAAGGAUCGGCUAACUCCGUGCCAGCAGCCGCGGUAAUACGGAGGAUCCGAGCGUUAUCCGGAUUUAUUGGGUUUAAAGGGUGCGCAGGCGGUUUUUUAAGUCAGUGGUUAAAUCGUGAGGCUCAACCUCAUCACGCCAUUGAUACUGGAAGACUUGAUUGCGGUUGAGGUUGGCGGAAUUCGUCGUGUAGCGGUGAAAUGCGUAGAUAUGACGAAGAACACCGAUUGCGUAGGCAGCUGACCAAGCCGUAAAUGACGCUCAUGCACGAAAGUGCGGGGAUCGAACAGGAUUAGAUACCCUGGUA